This is a long non-coding RNA of Lycium ferocissimum, 474 nucleotides long. RefSeq lists it as uncharacterized. The transcript has 2 exons. Lineage: Eukaryota; Viridiplantae; Streptophyta; Magnoliopsida; Solanales; Solanaceae. The record is from RefSeq and is a predicted model, not a curated record.
CAAAUAUCAUUUUCUAGAAAAGAGGUUAAACAUCCAAAACAAAGGAAUGAACAACCUCAACUUCAUCAAAUAACUUAAAGGAAUGACUUAGUUAAUGACUUAGUUAAAACAUUUCCUAUUCUAGGAUUGGUUUGAACAACCAGACCCAAAAAAUGUCUAGACACACCACAAAAACAACCUGUUCUAAGUGCCUCACUAGACUCACUUAUCUAACUAACAUGUUUCAUAUCAAGUCACCUCAACAUCUCUAAGGGCAUGCUUAGAUCACAAUAUAAAUAAGAAAAGGGAUGAUUAUGUCUUAACUUAACCAGUCCAUAUCUUCUCAAGUAAGGCUAGCACUUUGGUUUACAAAUCAGCUUGUUAAAGAAGAGUAUUGAUAUGGGAAUUAAAUCAUUUCAGCUACUACCAUCUGGUUUUCAAAGGAACCAGAUAUACAGAAAGGGAACAACAUAUUGAUUAAACUAAAAAAAACAA